Molecule: long non-coding RNA, 411 nt
Organism: Oreochromis niloticus (Nile tilapia)
Lineage: Eukaryota; Metazoa; Chordata; Actinopteri; Cichliformes; Cichlidae
Exons: 2
Source: RefSeq, a predicted model, not a curated record
CCAUCAGCUGUGUGUGACUUUUAAGCAGGAGGUAAAACAAAGCGGGGGAACCUGCUGCUUGUGUCACAUGACCUGUGCUGAGGUCACAGGCUUCUUUUUUCUUUGUUUCUUUUGAAACUUUAAUGUUUUCCUGUUUUGAGGUGAGACCCAGUCGGGGCUGAGGCUACAUUGUGGGUGGGUCUAAAGGGCCAACAAUGACACGCCAACCUUGACGCUCGGUGUUGAGCUUUCUGAAAAAGUAACAGGAUAUCAGGGGUCAGAGGUCACUCAGCAGAUCACUCUAAGCCGUCCAGAACCAGAGCCCUGGUGUGAAGGUCUGCUGCCGGCUCUGCGCUGGUUUGGCCCAGCUGUGGACCUUUCCUGCAGGCUGGAGAUCCAGAUGUUUGGCUGAGAUCCGGCUCUUCGGCUGUA